CAUACAAGAGAAAGCAGGGAACGUUCGGGCCUUGUGCUAUCAGAUGAGCCUAGUCGGAUUAGUUAGUUGGUGAGGUAGUGGCUCAUCAAGGGGCGAUCCGUAGUUGGUCUGAGAGGAUGAUCAGUCACACAGUAAGUGAGACACGGUCCAGAUUCCUGCGGGAGGCAGCAGUGGGGAAUAUUGUACAAAGGGCGAAAGCCUGAUCCAGCCAUGCGGCGUGUGUGAAGAAAGUGUUCGGAUUGUAAAGCACUUUAAGUGGGGAGGAAGGGCAGUUGCAUAAUAAGUAGCUGUUUUGACGUUACCAACAGAAUAAGCGCCGGCGAAAUCUGUGCCACCAGCCGCGGUAAAACAGAGGGUGCAAACGUUAUUUGGAAUUUCUGGGGGUAAAGCGGGCGUAGAUGGUGUAUUAAGUUUGAUGUGAAAACCCCGGGCUCAAACUCGGAACUGCAUUCAAAAAAGACUGAAUAGAGUAUAGUAGAGGGGGGUGGAAUUUCCUUGUAGCGGUAAAAGUGUAGAUAUUGGAGGAAACAUCAGGGGAAGGCGUCCUCCGGUGAGAUAAGACGGUGGGGUGGGGAGGGGGGAGGUGUUUUG
This 591-nucleotide ribosomal RNA is filed under the name Pseudomonas palleroniana. RNAcentral describes it as "bacterial SSU rRNA". It matches the Rfam family "Bacterial small subunit ribosomal RNA", at positions 193 to 773 of the family's 1533-position model. Lineage: Bacteria; Pseudomonadati; Pseudomonadota; Gammaproteobacteria; Pseudomonadales; Pseudomonadaceae. The record is from RNAcentral.